CCUACGGGGGGCAGCAGUAGGGAAUAUUGCUCAAUGGGGGAAACCCUGAAGCAGCAACGCCGCGUGGAGGAUGAAGGUUUUCGGAUUGUAAACUCCUUUUGUUAGAGAAGAUAAUGACGGUAUCUAACGAAUAAGCACCGGCUAACUCCGUGCCAGCAGCCGCGGUAAUACGGAGGGUGCAAGCGUUACUCGGAAUCACUGGGCGUAAAGAGCGCGUAGGCGGGAUAGCAAGUCAGAUGUGAAAUCCUAUGGCUUAACCAUAGAAUUGCAUUUGAAACUGUUAUUCUAGAGUAUGGGAGAGGUAGGUGGAAUUCUUGGUGUAGGGGUAAAAUGCGUAGAGAUCAAGAGGAAUACUCAUGGCGAAGGCGACCUGCUAGAACAUAACUGACGCUGAUGCGCGAAAGCGUGGGGAGCAAACAGGAUUAGAUACCCUUGUAGUC
RNAcentral lists this ribosomal RNA (440 nucleotides) under uncultured bacterium. RNAcentral's name for it is "partial 16S ribosomal RNA". It matches the Rfam family "Bacterial small subunit ribosomal RNA", at positions 338 to 795 of the family's 1533-position model. The record is from RNAcentral.